Molecule: ribosomal RNA, 917 nt
Filed under: Sinorhizobium sp.
Lineage: Bacteria; Pseudomonadati; Pseudomonadota; Alphaproteobacteria; Hyphomicrobiales; Rhizobiaceae
Description: bacterial SSU rRNA
Rfam family: Bacterial small subunit ribosomal RNA
Source: RNAcentral
ACCUGAGAGCGCGUCCUACUCUGCAGUCGAGCGCCACGCUGGGCUUAGCGGCAGACGGAUGAGUAACACGUGUGAAUCUACCCUUUUCUCCGGAAUAACGCAAGGAAACUUGUGCUAAUACCGUAUAAGCCCUUCGGGGGAAAGAUUUAUCGGGAAAGGAUGAGCCCGCGUUGGAUUAGCUUCUUGGUGGUGUAAAGGCCUCCCAAGGCCAUUAUCCAUAGCUGGUCUGAGAGGAUGAUCAGCCACACUGUGACUGAGACACCUGCCAGACUCCUACGGGAGGCUGCAGUGGGGAAUAUUGGACAACGGCCGCAAGCCUGAUCCAUCCAUGCCCUUCGACUGAGGAAGGCCCUAUGGUUGUAAAGCUCUUUCACCGGUGAAGAUAAUGACGGUAACCGGAGAUCAAGCCCCGGGUAAGUUCGUGCCGGAGGCCGCGGGAAUACAAAGGGGCCUAGCCUUGUUCGAAAUUACUGGCUGUAUAGCGCACGUAGGCGGACAUUUAAGUCAGGGGUGAAAUCCCGUACCUCAUCUCUGGAACUGCCUUUGAUACUGGGUGCCUAGAGUAUGGGAUAUGUGAGGGGGAUUCUCAGUGCAGAGUCGCACUGCAUACAUAUUCGGUUGAACGCCAAUGACGAAAGCGGCUCUCUGGUCCAUUACUGACGCUGAGGUGCGAUAUCGUGGAGACCAGCAGGAUUAGAUACCCUGUUAGCUCACACUGUCGAUGAUGAGCGUUAGCCGUCGGACAGAUUACUGUUAGAUGGCGCGGCUAACCCAUUAAAAAUCCUGCCUGGCGAGUACUGUCGCGUGAUUAUAACUUCAGAGGCCUUAGCUGGCGCCCUCACCAUUCGGUGCUGCGUGUGUUGUAAUUCAAAGUAACACGCAAAGCAUUGCAGCCCUUGUCCUCCCGAUCGGGGAUU